This is a long non-coding RNA of Gallus gallus (chicken), 924 nucleotides long. The record is from Ensembl. Lineage: Eukaryota; Metazoa; Chordata; Aves; Galliformes; Phasianidae.
GUCCUGGCAGACAGGCUGACAUUCACAUUUGCAGCCAGCACUGAACCCAAGCUAAGUCUGAGCUGGUUCAUGGUUCAGUGUAAUGCCUCACACAGCCAUGUAAAUGGCCCGACUGGGACAGAAACUUGGAUUCAGUUUAAAAAGUCAGUGCUGCUCCAAGAAAAGCAACUGAUGCUCUGCCAACAAUGUCUUAAAUUGAACUAACAAUUACUAAAAAUUAUUUUAUUCCUCUUAACCAAAGAACUGCUGCAUUAAUGGAGCUUCGGACAUGCUAACAGCACAGCAGAUUCUAAACACUGCUCUCCUGGCUCCGUUCAUCCCUUGGCAGGAAGGAAGGCAGGAGCAAACAUCUUGGACAACAGGGCUGCACAACAUGCAACAGGAGCAGGGAGGGGAAGGAAACUGCAGCAGGCACUCCUGAGGGACUGAAGAGCAAUGACGGCUUCUAUCUGAAGAAUGCUGAGAAAAUCUAAAAAGUUAUUUUAAAGCUUCUGAAGAAUUAAUAGAACGAUGUCCGUAAACGUCCUCUCAGAAAUAUCAGAAUCCAGGGUGGGGUUUUACAGAAGUUGGAGAGGUACGAGAACUGAGGCUGAUGGCUGACUACAAUGAUUUUUUUUCCUAUAUUUCAUUGAAUCACAGAAUGGCCUGAGUUAAAAAGGAUUUCAAAGACCAUCUAGUUUCAAGCCCCCUGCUUUGGGCAUGGCCACCAACCACCAGACAGGGAGCACAUUUGCCCCUUGUUUUCACACUGGGAGUUGCAUAUUUGUAACUGAGGGAAGAACUGAGUGCAGUGUUAACAACGUUAGGUAAAUAAUGUUGCUAUUAGAUUUUUAGAACCUGUUCUUUCUUUUUUUUUUUUUUAACGUGUUAUGUAAUCACUCCUCUAAUGAGCGUUCGGCCAAUAAAGGUGAAACAAGUUGCUAA